RNAcentral lists this ribosomal RNA (253 nucleotides) under uncultured bacterium. Its description in RNAcentral is "partial 16S ribosomal RNA". It matches the Rfam family "Bacterial small subunit ribosomal RNA", at positions 524 to 776 of the family's 1533-position model. The record is from RNAcentral.
UACGAAGGGGGCUAGCGUUGUUCGGAAUCACUGGGCGUAAAGCGCACGUAGGCGGAUCUUUAAGUCAGGGGUGAAAUCCCGAGGCUCAACCUCGGAACUGCCUUUGAUACUGGCGAUCUCGAGUCCGGGAGAGGUGAGUGGAACUGCGAGUGUAGAGGUGAAAUUCGUAGAUAUUCGCAAGAACACCAGUGGCGAAGGCGGCUCACUGGCCCGGUACUGACGCUGAGGUGCGAAAGCGUGGGGAGCAAACAGG